UUCAUACGCCAAUGGUUUGUA
This 21-nucleotide non-coding RNA is filed under the name Caenorhabditis elegans. The record is from RNAcentral. Lineage: Eukaryota; Metazoa; Nematoda; Chromadorea; Rhabditida; Rhabditidae.